Sciurus vulgaris (Eurasian red squirrel) is the source of this 272-nucleotide unclassified non-coding RNA. It matches the Rfam family "Metazoan signal recognition particle RNA". From Rfam's summary of the family: The signal recognition particle (SRP) is a universally conserved ribonucleoprotein. It is involved in the co-translational targeting of proteins to membranes. The record is from Ensembl. NCBI's taxonomy places the organism in Eukaryota, Metazoa, Chordata, Mammalia, Rodentia, Sciuridae.
GCCAAGUAGUCCCAGCUACUUGGGAGGCUGAUGUGGGAAGAUUGUUUGAGUCCAGGAAGUCUGCACUCUAGUGUGCUAUGCCGAUUGGGUGUUCACAUUAAGUUUGUCAUAAAUAUGGUGACCUCCUGGGAGCAGGGGGCUACCAGGAUGUCUAAGGAGGAGUGAACCAGCCCAGGUUGGAAAUGGAGCAGGUCAAAACCCCCCUACAUAUAGUCAGGAGUAGAGCCUGACUUGAACUCAAGAUUCUAAUGCUAGUUUUCUUCCCACCUCCU